UAGGGAAUAUUAGUAAUGGGCGAAAGCCUGAACUAGCAACGCCGCGUGUGCGAAGAAGGCCUUCGGGUUGUAAAGCACUUUUUGAGAGGAUGAGGAAGGACGGUACUCUCAGAAUAAGUCUCGGCUAACUACGUGCCAGCAGCCGCGGUAACACGUAGGAGGCGAACGUUAUCCGGAUUUACUGGGCGUAAAGCGCGUGUAGGUGGUUUGGUAAGUAGGGCGUGAAAGCUCCUGGCUCAACUGGGAGAGGCCGUUCUAAACUGCCGAACUAGAGGAUGGUAGAGGGAGGUGGAAGUCCGGGUGUAGCGGUGGAAUACGCAGAUAUCCGGAGGAACACCAGUGGCGAAAGCGGCCUCCUGGACCAUUCCUGACACUCAGACGCGAAA
This 386-nucleotide ribosomal RNA is filed under the name uncultured bacterium. Its description in RNAcentral is "bacterial SSU rRNA". It matches the Rfam family "Bacterial small subunit ribosomal RNA", at positions 355 to 758 of the family's 1533-position model. The record is from RNAcentral.